Molecule: ribosomal RNA, 252 nt
Filed under: uncultured bacterium
Lineage: Bacteria
Description: partial 16S ribosomal RNA
Rfam family: Bacterial small subunit ribosomal RNA
Source: RNAcentral
UACGUAGGGAGCGAGCGUUGUCCGGAUUUAUUGGGCGUAAAGAGCUCGUAGGCGGUUUGGCAAGUCGGAUGUGAAAGCUCCGGCUCAACCCGGAGACGCCAUUCGAUACUGCCAUGACUAGAGUCCGGUAGGGGGUGUGGAAUUCCCAGUGUAGCGGUGAAAUGCGCAGAUAUCGGGAAGAACACCUAUGGCGAAGGCAGCUCUCUGGGACGGUACUGACGCUGAGACGCGAAAGCGUGGGGAGCGAACAGG